AACGAACGCUGGCGGCAUGCUUAACACAUGCAAGUCGAACGAGACCUUCGGGUCUAUUUGGGCACGUCGACUUAACGCCGGGUAACCUGCCUGUAGGUUCGGUGUAAUUCAGAUAGAUUUAAGCUCAGGCCGCUUGGUCUCUUCGCGCCAAAGAGUUAUCGCCUUUAGAUGGGCGUGCGUUGGAUUAGGUGGUUGGUGGGGUACAGGCCUACUAUGGCGACGAUACAUAGCUGGUCUGAGAGGAUGAUCAGACACAGUGGGACUGAGACCCGGCCCAGACUCCUACGGGAGGAAGGAGUGGGGAAUAUUGGAGAACGGGAGACAGACUGAUCAAGCAAUGGCGCGUGAGUGAUGAAGGCGUUAGGGUUGUAAAGUUCUUUUACCAGAGAUGAUAAUGAAAGUAUCGGGAGAAUAAGCUCCGGCUAAAUCCGUG
This 433-nucleotide ribosomal RNA is filed under the name uncultured bacterium. RNAcentral's name for it is "partial 16S ribosomal RNA". It matches the Rfam family "Bacterial small subunit ribosomal RNA", at positions 29 to 507 of the family's 1533-position model. The record is from RNAcentral.